Molecule: ribosomal RNA, 429 nt
Filed under: Gemmatimonadota bacterium
Lineage: Bacteria; Pseudomonadati; Gemmatimonadota
Description: Gemmatimonadetes bacterium partial 16S ribosomal RNA
Rfam family: Bacterial small subunit ribosomal RNA
Source: RNAcentral
UAGGGAAUCUUCGGCAAUGGACGAAAGUCUGACCGAGCAACGCCGCGUGAGUGAAGAAGGUUUUCGGAUCGUAAAACUCUGUUGUUAGAGAAGAACAAGGACGUUAGUAACUGAACGUCCCCUGACGGUAUCUAACCAGAAAGCCACGGCUAACUACGUGCCAGCAGCCGCGGUAAUACGUAGGUGGCAAGCGUUGUACGGAUUUAUUGGGCGUAAAGCGAGCGCAGGCGGUUUCUUAAGGCUGAUGUGAAAGCCCCCGGCUCAACCGGGGAGGGUCAUUGGAAACUGGGAGACUUGAGUACAGAAGAGGAGAGUGGAAUUCCAUGUGUAGCGGUGACAUGCGUCGAUAUAUGGAGGAACACCAGUGGCGAAGGCGUCUCUCUGGUCUGUAACUGACGCUGAGGCUCGAAAGCGUGGGGAGCAAACAGG